Molecule: ribosomal RNA, 1532 nt
Filed under: uncultured bacterium
Lineage: Bacteria
Description: bacterial SSU rRNA
Rfam family: Bacterial small subunit ribosomal RNA
Source: RNAcentral
AGAGUUUGAUCCUGGCUCAGAUUGAACGCUGGCGGUAUGCUUAACACAUGCAAGUCGAACGGAAACGAUACUAGCUUGCUAGUAGGCGUCGAGUGGCGGACGGGUGAGUAACGCGUAGGAAUCUGCCUGAUAGUGGGGGAUAGCCCGGAGAAAUUCGGAUUAAUACCGCAUAAUCUAUUCGUAGUAAAGUGGGGGACUUUCGAGCCUCACGCUAUCAGAUGAGCCUGCGUAAGAUUAGCUAGUUGGUAGGGUAAAAGCCUACCAAGGCGACGAUCUUUAGCUGGUCUGAGAGGAUGAUCAGCCACAUCGGGACUGAGACACGGCCCGAACUCCUACGGGAGGCAGCAGUGGGGAAUAUUGGACAAUGGGGGCAACCCUGAUCCAGCAAUACCGCGUGUGUGAAGAAGGCCUGAGGGUUGUAAAGCACUUUCAAUUGUGAAGAAAAGUUAGCGGUUAAUAACCGUUAGCCUUGACGUUAACUUUAGAAGAAGCACCGGCUAACUCCGUGCCAGCAGCCGCGGUAAUACGGAGGGUGCAAGCGUUAAUCGGAAUUACUGGGCGUAAAGCGUGCGUAGGCGGUUUAUUAAGUCAGAUGUGAAAGCCCCGGGCUUAACCUGGGAACUGCAUUUGAAACUGGUAAACUAGAGUAUGGUAGAGGAAAGUGGAAUUUCUGGUGUAGCGGUGAAAUGCGUAGAUAUCAGAAGGAACAUCAAUGGCGAAGGCAGCUUUCUGGACCAAUACUGACGCUGAGGUACGAAAGCGUGGGUAGCAAACAGGAUUAGAUACCCUGGUAGUCCACGCCGUAAACGAUGAUAACUAGCCGUUGGGGGGAUUUACCCUUUAGUGGCGAAGCUAACGCGUUAAGUUAUCCGCCUGGGGAGUACGGCCGCAAGGUUAAAACUCAAAGGAAUUGACGGGGACCCGCACAAGCGGUGGAGCAUGUGGUUUAAUUCGAUGCAACGCGAAGAACCUUACCUGGUCUUGACAUCCUGCGAACUUUCUAGAAAUAGAUUGGUGCCUUCGGGAACGCAGUGACAGGUGCUGCAUGGCUGUCGUCAGCUCGUGUCGUGAGAUGUUGGGUUAAGUCCCGUAACGAGCGCAACCCCUAUCCUUAUUUGCCAGCACAUCAUGGUGGGAACUAUAAGGAGACUGCCGGUGAUAAACCGGAGGAAGGCGGGGACGACGUCAAGUCAUCAUGGCCCUUACGACCAGGGCUACACACGUGCUACAAUGGGAAGGACAAAGAGCCGCGAAGCCGCGAGGUGUAGCUAAUCUCAUAAACCUUUUCGUAGUCCGGAUUGGAGUCUGCAACUCGACUCCAUGAAGUCGGAAUCGCUAGUAAUCGUAGAUCAGAAUGCUACGGUGAAUACGUUCCCGGGUCUUGUACACACCGCCCGUCAUACCAUGGGAGUGGGUUGCACCAGAAGUGGCUAGUCUAACUUAGUGAGGACGGUCACCACGGUGUGAUUCAUGACUGGGGUAAAGUCGUAACAAGGUAGCCCUACCGGAAGGUGCGGCUGGAUCACCUCCUU